Molecule: ribosomal RNA, 492 nt
Filed under: uncultured bacterium
Lineage: Bacteria
Description: partial 16S ribosomal RNA
Rfam family: Bacterial small subunit ribosomal RNA
Source: RNAcentral
AGUGAACGCUGGCGGUAGGCCAAACACAUGCAAGUCGAACGGCAGCACAGUAAGAGCUUGCUCUUACGGGUGGCGAGUGGCGGACGGGUGAGGAAUACAUCGGAAUCUACUUUUUCGUGGGGGAUAACGUAGGGAAACUUACGCUAAUACCGCAUACGACCUACGGGUGAAAGCAGGGGAUCUUCGGACCUUGCGCGAUUGAAUGAGCCGAUGUCGGAUUAGCUAGUUGGCGGGGUAAAGGCCCACCAAGGCGACGAUCCGUAGCUGGUCUGAGAGGAUGAUCAGCCACACUGGAACUGAGGCACGGUCCAGACUCCUACGGGAGGCAGCAGUGGGGAAUAUUGGACAAUGGGCGCAAGCCUGAUCCAGCCAUACCGCGUGGGUGAAGAAGGCCUUCGGGUUGUAAAGCCCUUUUGUUGGGAAAGAAAAGCAGCAGGUUAAUACCCCGCUGUUCUGACGGUACCCAAAGAAUAAGCACCGGCUAACUUCGUG